This 74-nucleotide transfer RNA is filed under the name Amnibacterium kyonggiense. RNAcentral describes it as "tRNA-Leu". It matches the Rfam family "tRNA". Rfam says of the family: Transfer RNA (tRNA) molecules are approximately 80 nucleotides in length. Their secondary structure includes four short double-helical elements and three loops (D, anti-codon, and T loops). Lineage: Bacteria; Bacillati; Actinomycetota; Actinomycetes; Micrococcales; Microbacteriaceae. The record is from RNAcentral.
GCCCUCGUAGCCCAAUCGGCAGAGGCAGGCGACUUAAAAUCGCUUCAGUCAGGGUUCGAGUCCCUGCGGGGGCA